RNAcentral lists this long non-coding RNA (220 nucleotides) under Ricinus communis (castor bean). RNAcentral describes it as "long non-coding RNA (RCOM_LNC002387)". The record is from RNAcentral. Lineage: Eukaryota; Viridiplantae; Streptophyta; Magnoliopsida; Malpighiales; Euphorbiaceae.
UUCCAUCAUGCACAUCAAUCAUAGUUCUAGUAGUUGCUAUGAAAGGUCUACCAAGAAGUAUAAUUUGCUCUUUAUCCAUUGCUGGUGUAUUUUCCAUGUCAAGCACUACAAAAUCAACUGGAAUUAUUAACUUACCUACUUGUACUAGCAAGUCAUCCACUAUACCUCUAGGAUAUUUUAUCGAUCUAUCAGUAAAUUGUAGAGACAUAGUAGUAGGCUU